RNAcentral lists this ribosomal RNA (495 nucleotides) under Veillonella parvula. Its description in RNAcentral is "bacterial SSU rRNA". It matches the Rfam family "Bacterial small subunit ribosomal RNA", at positions 28 to 494 of the family's 1533-position model. The record is from RNAcentral. Lineage: Bacteria; Bacillati; Bacillota; Negativicutes; Veillonellales; Veillonellaceae.
GACGAACGCUGGCGGCGUGCUUAACACAUGCAAGUCGAACGAAGAGCGAUGGAAGCUUGCUUCUAUCAAUCUUAGUGGCGAACGGGUGAGUAACGCGUAAUCAACCUGCCCUUCAGAGGGGGACAACAGUUGGAAACGACUGCUAAUACCGCAUACGAUCUAAUCUCGGCAUCGAGGAUAGAUGAAAGGUGGCCUCUACAUGUAAGCUAUCACUGAAGGAGGGGAUUGCGUCUGAUUAGCUAGUUGGAGGGGUAACGGCCCACCAAGGCGAUGAUCAGUAGCCGGUCUGAGAGGAUGAACGGCCACAUUGGGACUGAGACACGGCCCAGACUCCUACGGGAGGCAGCAGUGGGGAAUCUUCCGCAAUGGACGAAAGUCUGACGGAGCAACGCCGCGUGAGUGAUGACGGCCUUCGGGUUGUAAAGCUCUGUUAAUCGGGACGAAAGGCCUUCUUGCGAAUAGUUGGAAGGAUUGACGUACCGGAAUAGAAGCCAC